GACGAACGCUGGCGGCGUGCCUAAUACAUGCAAGUUGAGCGCUGAAGGUUGGUACUUGUACCAACUGGAUGAGCAGCGAACGGGUGAGUAACGCGUGGGGAAUCUGCCUUUGAGCGGGGGACAACAUUUGGAAACGAAUGCUAAUACCGCAUAAAAACUUUAAACACAAGUUUUAAGUUUGAAAGAUGCAAUUGCAUCACUCAAAGAUGAUCCCGCGUUGUAUUAGCUAGUUGGUGAGGUAAAGGCUCACCAAGGCGAUGAUACAUAGCCGACCUGAGAGGGUGAUCGGCCAACUUGGGACUGAGACACGGCCCAAACUCCUACGGGAGGCAGCAGUAGGGAAUCUUCGGCAAUGGACGAAAGUCUGACCGAGCAACGCCGCGUGAGUGAAGAAGGUUGUCGGAUCGUAAAACUCUGUUGGUAGAGAAGAACGUUGGUGAGAGUGGAAAGCUCAUCAAGUGACGGUAACUACCCAGAAAGGGACGGCUAACUACGUG
This 497-nucleotide ribosomal RNA is filed under the name uncultured bacterium. RNAcentral describes it as "partial 16S ribosomal RNA". It matches the Rfam family "Bacterial small subunit ribosomal RNA", at positions 28 to 507 of the family's 1533-position model. The record is from RNAcentral.